RNAcentral lists this microRNA precursor (78 nucleotides) under Schistosoma margrebowiei. RNAcentral's name for it is "mir-3492 microRNA precursor family". It matches the Rfam family "mir-3492 microRNA precursor family". Lineage: Eukaryota; Metazoa; Platyhelminthes; Trematoda; Strigeidida; Schistosomatidae. The record is from Rfam by way of RNAcentral.
AGCCUUCUGUAUCCGUGCUGAGAUUUCGUCACACACCGAAGCACGAGAGCUGAUGAGACUUCCAAGAUAAGUGAAGCG